UACCCUGCUCCACUCUCUACAAUGGAUUCCGCAUGGCUCCACUACUUUCUGACAAGUCACGACAAUGGACACCACUCCACUCUCCGUAACAAACUCCACGUGGCCUUGAACGACCCCUGACGCCACUACUCUCCGUAACAAACUCCGUACGGCUCUGAACGGUCGACUAUCAAGCGGUUAUAGACGUCACUGUCAAUCAAUUGCACUCUCCGUCUAUAAAAAGGGGACCCCAGAUAUGUUCUUCUCUAAGCUUUAAACUCUAUCCCAAAACUCUGCUAAAAUUUCCACUUGAGCACUCCAUUUCUGUUGAGGCAGAGUACUGACUUGAGCAUCGGAGGGUC
This 341-nucleotide long non-coding RNA is filed under the name Elaeis guineensis (African oil palm). Its description in RNAcentral is "long non-coding RNA (EGUI_LNC068376)". Lineage: Eukaryota; Viridiplantae; Streptophyta; Magnoliopsida; Arecales; Arecaceae. The record is from RNAcentral.